GGAUCAUUACCGAGUUUACAACUCCCAAACCCCCUGUGAACUUAUACCAUUUACUGUUGCUUCGGCGGGUCACGGCCCCGGGGAAGGAGAGCGGUCGCCGUCAGGCCUCAGCUGCCCGCCCCCGGAAACAGGCGCCCGCCGGGGAACUCAAACUCUUCUGUAUUUCUUUAUCUAAUAUAUACUGUCUGAGUAAAAACUAAAAUGAAUCAAAACUUUCAACAACGGAUCUCUUGGUUCUGGCAUCUGAUGAAGAACGCGCGAAAUGCGAUAAGUAAUGUGAAUUGCAGAAUUCAGUGAAUCAUCGAAUCUUUGAACGCACAUUGCGCCCGCCAGUAUUCUGGCGGGCAUGCCUGUUCGAGCGUCAUUUCAACCCUCAAGUCCCCUGUGGACUCGGUGUUGGGGACCGGCGAGACAGCCGCGGAUCUUCUUCCGCAGCGAGUCGCCGCCCCCCAAAUGACUUGGCGGCCUCGUCGCGGCCCUCCUCUGCGUAGUAUAGCACACCUCGCAACAGGAGCCCGGCGAAUGGCCACUGCCGUAAAACCCCCCAACUUUUUCAGAGUUGACCUC
This is a ribosomal RNA of 567 nucleotides. The stretch from base 211 to 364 matches the Rfam family "5.8S ribosomal RNA".